GACGAACCGUGCGAACGUUGUUCGGAAUCACUGGGCUUAAAGGGCGCGUAGGCGGGCUGUCAAGUCCGGGGUGAAAUCCUCCCGCUCAACGGGAGAACGGCCUCGGAUACUGAUGGUCUCGAGGAGGAUAGGGGCACACGGAACUGUGGGUGGAGCGGUGAAAUGCGUUGAUAUCCAUAGGAACUCCGGUGGCGAAAGCGGUGUGCUGGAUCCUUUCUGACGCUGAUGCGCGAAAGCCAGGGGAGCAAACAGG
Molecule: ribosomal RNA, 253 nt
Filed under: uncultured bacterium
Lineage: Bacteria
Description: partial 16S ribosomal RNA
Rfam family: Bacterial small subunit ribosomal RNA
Source: RNAcentral